This 990-nucleotide ribosomal RNA is filed under the name Triticum aestivum (bread wheat). RNAcentral's name for it is "partial small subunit ribosomal RNA". The record is from RNAcentral. Lineage: Eukaryota; Viridiplantae; Streptophyta; Magnoliopsida; Poales; Poaceae.
CGACACAACCACAAACUCAUAAAGAAGUUCGACCUGGUGAAAUUUCUGACCGCCCACAGAGGGUUCACCCCCGUCGAAAGGAAAUUCGUAAAGCUGCUACAUGAUUGUAACGUCGGUCCAUCAAGAAUGGUACAGAUACUAUCUCUCAUCCACAGCAAAAAGGGGACUCUGAGUAGCAUGCCGUACAUACCAGCUGACGUCACAAUCCUACAGGCCAAGUACCGUAGAGAGAGCAAGUUGGCAGACAUAGAGGCCACAAUAGCCUACUUCGAUGCGAAAGCAAAGGAAGAUCCAGAUUUCUUCUACAGGAUAAGGUUGGACGAUGAGGACCGUGUCAGGAACAUGUAUUGGGUGGAUGGUGCUGCAAGGAGAGCCUACAAACAUUUCCGAGAUUGCAUUUCAUUCGACGCGACGUACCUCACCAAUAUGUACAAGAUGCCAUGCGCUCCUUUCAUAGGAAUAAAUAACCAUAACACAGAUGGGUACGUUUGGCUGUUCAAGACCUUCUUGGAGUGCAUGGAUGGACUUGCUCCGAUGAACAUAAUAACGGACCAAGAUUUCAGCAUGCGUGCAGGCAUAGAGGAGGUCUUUUCGUUGGCAGUGCACAUGCACUACAGGUGGCACAUUAUAAAGAAGGCUGAGGAGACGCUAGGACCAUUCUUUGCCACUACGCAGCGCAGCGAGGGGUUCAAUGCUGUUUUAAAGCGACGGGACGGCAUUGUGUGCUGUCACAUACUAAAAGUCAUGGACAUGAACGCUGUGACACGCAUGCCCCGCCAUUUCAUAAGGAGGCGAUGGACUUGGGACGCUGACGACGCGUUGGCGCCGCAGACAACACACGCAGUUCUGGCUGUGCAUGACGAGAGACCUGAGUCAACCAUGGAAGCCGUGAGGCACGUUGUGCUGACAAAGAACUAUGCUGAGCUAAUUGAUGAAGCGUGCAAGAGUGAUGACACAGCGAGAGUCGCAGAAAAAACAGGAAGGCACUGA